This 2422-nucleotide long non-coding RNA is filed under the name Olea europaea subsp. europaea. The record is from RNAcentral. Lineage: Eukaryota; Viridiplantae; Streptophyta; Magnoliopsida; Lamiales; Oleaceae.
GCAGAAAGGAAAGGUGAUAGCCUACGCUUCUAGACAAUUGAAACAAUAUGAACAAAACUACCCAACCCAUGAUCUAGAAUUGCCUGCGGUAGUUCAUGCUCUUAAGAUAUGGCGUCAUUACUUAUAUGGAAAUAAGUGUGACAUUUAUACUGAUCAUAAGAGUUUGAAGUACUUUUUUCACCCAAAAGGAAUUAAAUAUGAGGCAGAGAAGAUGGCUAGAGCUAGUAAAGGAUUAUGAUUGCACCAUCCUUUACCAUCCUGGUAAAGCUAAUGUAGUAGCAGAUGCUCUUAGCAGAAAGGCGGUUGGACAAUUAGCAGUACUAAUCACUAUGCGUCGAAAACUUCCAUUUAGAAGUAAUUGUUCCACCAACCCAAACUAUCACCAAGAUAGUGGCUCUAACGGUUCGACCAACACUUAGAGAUCGAAUAAGAGUAGCACAUGAUGGUGACUCUUUCCUGCAAAAGAUCAAAUCCAAAGUUGGUACUAGCAAGCGAAAGGAUUUUGAAUUAGGCAGUGAUAAAACCUUACUCUUUAAGGGAAGGUUGUGUGUGCUGAAAGAUGAGGGAUUGAGGAAAGAAAUUCUUGAAGAAGCACACUUAACUCCAUAUACUGCCCAUCCAGGAGGUACAAAAAUGUAUCGUGAUCUAAGGAGUAUGUUUUUGUGGAGAAAUAUGAAACGGUGCAUAGGUCUUUUUGUCAGGAGGUGCAUGACUUGUCAACGAGUGAAAGCUGAACAUCAAAGGCCAUCUGGAUUGUUGGAACCAUUAACAAUUCCACAAUGGAAAUGGGAGCAUAUAACUAUGGAUUUUGUUAUGGGUUUUUCCAAAAUCAGCUAAGGAAAAUGAUGCUAUGUGGGUUAUAGUAGAUCAGUUAACAAAGUCAGCUCAUUUUCUACAUGUAAGAAUGAAUUUUAGUAUGGAUCAAUACGCGCGAUUAUAUAUCAAAGAGGUCAUCCGUUUGCAUGGUAUCCCAGCCUCAAUUGUAUCGGAUAGAGAUCCAAGAUUUACCUCAAAAUUUUGGAAAAGUUUUGCAAGAAGCUAUGGGAACCAAGUUAAACUUCAGCACAGCUUUUCAUCCGCAAACUGAUGGGCAAUCGGAGAGGACUAUACAGACUUUGGAGGAUAUACUGCGUGCAUGCGCCCUUGAUUUAGGGGGCAGUUGGGAAAGUUAUGUACCACUGGUAGAAUUUGCCUAUAAUAAUAGCUAUCAAGCUACGAUAAAGAUGGAACCUUACGAAGCUCUUUAUGGCAGAAGAUGUACAGCUCCCCUUUAUUGGGAUGAAGUAGGUGAACGAAGAGUUUUAGGACCCAAAAUAAUUGAGGAAAUUAGUCGAGCGGUUGAUAAAAUAAAAGCUAGAAUCAAGGCAGCCCAGGAUCGACAAAAAAGUUAUGCCGAUAAAAGGAGAAAAGAUUUGGCAUUUAAUGUUGGUGAUAAAGUUUUCUUAAAAGUGGCACCGAUGAAGGGAGUUCUUCGCAUUGGAAAGAAGGGAAAACUUCGACCAAGAUUCAUAGGUCCUUUUGAAAUUUUGCAGAAAUUUGGAAAUGUAGCCUAUCAAAUCGCUCUACCACCACAUUUGUUAGCAAUUCAUGAUAUGUUCCACGUGUCAAUGCUUCAACAAUAUGUGUCAGAUCAAAGUCAUGUGGUUAGUUAUCAACCACUGGAUAUCAAACGAAACAUGACUUAUGAGGAAAAACCAGUAGCAAUAUUGGAUCGCAGAAUCCAACAACUGAGGACAAAGGAAAUUCCGUUAGUGAGAGUUCAAUGGAGAAACCAUAAUGUCAAAGAGUCAACUUGGGAAAGAGAAGAGGAAAUCAAGAUCAAGUAUCCAUAACUUUUCAACUAAGUUCAAGGUAAUUUCGAGGAUGAAAUUUUUAUAAGGGAGGAAGGAUGUAAUACUCCGAAUUUUGGGCUCAUUUAAUUUUUAGAAUAGCAAUUUAACUUUUCAAAAUUUAGUAUGACCAAAAAAUUAUUUAUGGUUGCCAAAUUUUGCAUUGGUUGAUUUAUUAAAAGUUUUUCCAAGUAAAUUGUUAAUUAGGGUUUUGGGAUAAAUGUCCAUUUUACACCUAAUUACUAAAGCUAAACAUUGUUUCUCCAACUUGGCCGAAAAUUGAUGAAACAUAUAUGCAUGAGGUGUUUUAAAAUUAAGCAUGAGGUGACUAACUAAUGCAUGAGGUGUUUUAAAUUUAAGAAAAUGAAACCAUACAGCCUACACAUGUUGAAUUUCUUGAAGAGUCACCCAAAAUUUAUCAUUUUUCUCACCUAUAAAUAGAUGUGUUGCUGCCCUUUAUUUCCCUUGGAUGAAAAACAACUUAUCACUUGUUUAAAAAAGGGAAGAAAACGUGAGGGAAGAAGAGGACCAGCCUAGCAUUUCUUAAUUCAUUUUCAACCAAGAUUUCUUCGAGUUUUAUUUUAAGAUAUUUU